UUGAGAUCGUGCCACUGUACUGCAGCCUGGGUGACAGAGUGAGAGUCUGUCUCAAAAAAUAAAUAAGAGGCCCCAGAGAAAUCCUGCCAUGUGAGGUUACAGUGAGAAGAUGGCCAUGAGGAACAGGUCCUCACCAGACAUGGAAUCUGCAGACACGUUGGUCUUAGACUUCCCAGCCUCUGGAACCUCACCCUGGUGGGUGUGAAGUGAAUCUCACUGUGAUUUUCAUUUACAUUCCCUGGAUGGCUAAUGAUGCUGAGCGUCUGUUCGCGUGCUGGCUGGCUGUGUACUUUCUUUGGAAAAAUGGAAAAAGGACAGUUUUUUUCGAACAGUGGUUGCUGGGAAAACUCGGUAUCUGCAUGCAAAAGAAUGAAGUUGGACCUUUGUCUUACACUAUAUACAAAAAUAAAAUAGAUCGAAGCUCUAAUAGAAAAGCUAAAAAUAGAAAACUCUUAGAAGAAAACAUAGAGGAAAUCUUCGUGAUAUUGGAUUUGCCAGUUAUUUCUUGGAUAUCAUUGGAUGCUGAAAGCAUAGACUACAAAAGAGAAAAAAUAAAUUGGACUUCAUCAAAAUUAAAAACUUUUGUGCAUCAAAGGACGCUAUAAAAAAUGUGACAAGACAACCCACGGAAUGAGAGAAGCUAUUUGUAAACCAUAUAUUUGAAAAAGGAUUAAUAUUCAGAAUAUACAAAGAAUUUCUGGGAGGCUGAGGUGAGAGGAUCAUUUGAGUCCAGGAGUUCCAGACCAGCCUGGGCAAUAUAGUGAGACCCUAUCUCUACACAAAAUAAAAUAAUUAGCCAGGUAUGGUGGUGCAUGCCUGUGGUCCCAGCUACUAGGGAGGCUGAGGUGGGAGGAUUGCUUGAGCCCAGGAUGUCGAGGCUGCCGUGAGCCUUGACUAUGCCACUGACUCCAACCUGGGUGACAGAAGGAGACCUUGUCUCAAAAAAAACAAAAAACAGAAAUAAGCAAAGAGAACCUCGAAGACAUUAUGCUAAGAGAAAUAAGUCAGUCACAAAAAGGUAAAUACUGUAUGAUUCCAGAUAUAUGAAAUCUCUAUAGUAGUCAGAUUCACAAAGACAGCAGAACGGUGAUGGGCAAGCGGUGGGGGUAAGGAGCUGGAAGAAAUGGAGAAUUGUGGAAUAGGCAUAGAGUAUCCAUUUUUGCAAGAUAAAGAGUUCUGGAGAUCAGUGAAUGUACUUAACAUGACUGGACUGUACAUGUAAAAGACGG
Molecule: long non-coding RNA, 1229 nt
Filed under: Homo sapiens (human)
Lineage: Eukaryota; Metazoa; Chordata; Mammalia; Primates; Hominidae
Description: HSALNT0156085
Source: RNAcentral